Molecule: ribosomal RNA, 633 nt
Filed under: uncultured archaeon
Lineage: Archaea
Description: bacterial SSU rRNA
Rfam family: Archaeal small subunit ribosomal RNA
Source: RNAcentral
CGCCCUUUUCCGGUUGAUCCCGCCAGAGGCUACUGCCAUCAGAGUUCGAUUAAGCCAUGUUAGUCGAGGGUGCUUCUUCUUCGGAAGAAGUAACCCGGCGGACGGCUCAGUAACACGUGGAUAACUUGCCCUUGGGUCCGGGAUAACCCCUGAGAAAUUGGGGACAAUACCGGAUAGGGCAUCGAUAGCUGGAAUGCACGAUGUCCAAAAGCUGAGGCGCCCAAGGAUAGGUCUGCGGCUGAUUAGGUUGUUGUUGAUGUAAUGGAUCAACAAGCCUGCAAUCGGUACGGGUUGUGAGAGCAAGAGCCCGGAGAUGGGUUCUGAGAAAAGAACCCAGGUCCUACGGGACGCAUCAGGCGCGAAAACUUUACAAUGUGCGAAAGCACGAUAAGGGAACUCUGAGUGCCUCCUAUGGAGGCUGUUCAGGUGUCUAAAAAGCACUUGAAGUAAGGGCUGGGUAAGACCGGUGCCAGCCGCCGCGGUAACACCGGCAGCCCAAGUGGUAGCCACGAUUAUUGGGUCUAAAGCGUCCGUAGCCGGCCAGGUAAGUUCUUUGGGAAAUUUAACCGCUCAACGGUUAAGCUUUCAGGGAAUACUGCUUGGCUUGGGACCGGGAGAGGUCAGAGGUACUUC